RNAcentral lists this long non-coding RNA (781 nucleotides) under Zonotrichia albicollis (white-throated sparrow). RNAcentral's name for it is "lncRNA (ENSZALG00000013324.1)". Lineage: Eukaryota; Metazoa; Chordata; Aves; Passeriformes; Passerellidae. The record is from RNAcentral.
UGAAUAUCUGCUGUUCAGAAAUAUCUCACCUUAAGCUGGGUUGAUGUGUGACUGAGAUGCACAGAUGGGUAUCUACCAUAGAAUUACAGCUUUCAAAUGCAAGGACAAAAUCUGCUUUCAGAAUCAAUUGAUCACUGAGCCUGAAAGGUCUGCAUGGACUGUCCUGAAAUGCCAACUGGCUGUCAAUGUCAUCCAUCAAGGGUCGAGCAAGGACUCACUGUGACAGACACCCUGCCUUGGAGAGAACCUGGGCUGGCUGUACUGAUCCCAGAGUGGUGCAACCUGGCACAGCAGCAAAAUGCAUCCAUGUCAAUGCUCCUGAUAGCAGCAGUCAAAGGAACACAGGCUGGGAACUCAUGGCUCUGUCCCUGCCUCUGGGUGACCGUAGGGAAAUUCUUUAUUGCCUCUCUGCUUCAGAGUCCUCUCCCUUACCUAGAGAAGAAAUCCAGUGUACCCCCAGCUGGGUAGUUGCAACAAAGAUAGAGCAGCACAUCGCUUGGGGCCUGUGAUUUAAAACUGGAUUUUCUUAUUCUGUACUAAUUUCACUGACUAUCACAAAUCUCUAUUUUUUUCAGUCAUGCAUUUAAAAAUCAGAAUAAGCAGACUGGGGCUGGAAGGAUUAAUAUGUUUCCUUUGAUACUAGAAUUCUAGUAUUUUGGACUGUGCACUGCAUUUCUUUUCUCCAAGACUGCAUAUAAAAUGCUAUUUGCUGACUUCUCAUCUAUAUAAUUAAAGCUAGCUCUAUUAUCAGAAGGAUUCUUAUGAGGCUUAGCUGCUCUCC